AGUGAACGCUGGCGGCAGGCCUAAUACAUGCAAGUCGAACGGCAGCACAGUGGAGCUUGCUCCAUGGGUGGCGAGUGGCGGACGGGUGAGGAAUACAUGGGAAUCUGCCCAGUCGUGGGGAUAACGUAUGGAAACGUACGCAAAUACCGCAUGCGCCCUUCGGGGGAAAGUCGGGGACCGCAAGGCCUGACGCGAUUGGAUGAGCCCAUGUUCGAUUAGCUAGUUGGCGGGUAACGGCCCACCAAGGCGACGAUCGAUAGCUGGUCUGAGAGGAUGAUCAGCCACACUGGAACUGAGACACGGUCCAGACUCCUACGGGAGGCAGCAGUAGGGAAUAUUGGACAAUGGGCGCAAGCCUGAUCCAGCCAUGCCGCGUGAGUGAAGAAGG
RNAcentral lists this ribosomal RNA (388 nucleotides) under uncultured bacterium. Its description in RNAcentral is "bacterial SSU rRNA". It matches the Rfam family "Bacterial small subunit ribosomal RNA", at positions 29 to 414 of the family's 1533-position model. The record is from RNAcentral.